This 1015-nucleotide ribosomal RNA is filed under the name fungal sp. 626 MCS-2014. RNAcentral's name for it is "eukaryotic LSU rRNA". The stretch from base 625 to 765 matches the Rfam family "5.8S ribosomal RNA". The record is from RNAcentral. Lineage: Eukaryota; Fungi.
AAGAUUUGGAAAGAAAGCCGUCAAACCGCAUGCCCCUGAAUACAAAGGGGGCAAGGCGUUCAAGAUUGGUGAUUCACGAUUCGCAUUCACAUACGUUUCGCUUUCGCUGGUUCUUCAUGAGGAGAACCAAGAGAUCGUGUGAAAGUUUGAAUAUUUGGUUACUUCGAGACAGAUUGUUUGACUAGGUAUAAAAUAAAAAUAGAUGUAUGUGUUUGGUGUUAAGGCAAGCGCCUCGAUAAUAAAAGUAGAAAAUACUCCACAGUGUGUAAGAAUAACCAGCGUGAAUUGAGACACCGCUUGCCGCGCAUUUAAGGCGCGGCUUCGCAAAAUUCUCCCGCCAGAAUUCAAAAUUCCUUAAAAUUUUUCCUUAUUUUUUUUAUAUGCUUAAGUUCAGCGGGUAUUCCUACCUGAUUUGAGGUCAAACUUAAAGAGUACUGUUUACAGGGCUGCAAGCAAUGUUUUCAAUUCUCGCUGGGUAUCAGAGGACAACGUGCCGGAGUUGGUCUUUUAUUAUCGAGGCGCUUGCGCUUCAACACCAAAACACAAACAAUCUAUUUUCAAUGGCCCGCGGCCAACAAUUUCAAGUUAACUCAGAAAAACAGAGUGUCACUCACAACCAAAUACAAGUAUUUGAGAAGGAACAGAGAUGAAGAACGCAGCGAAACGCGAAAUGUCAAGUGAAUUGCAGAAUUCCGUGAAUCAUCGAAUCUUUGAACGCACAUUGCGCCCCUUGGUAUUCCAGGGGGCAUGCCUGUUUGAGCGUCAUUUCCUUCUCAAAUACUUGUAUUUGGUUGUGAGUGACACUCUGUUUUUCUGAGUUAACUUGAAAUUGUUGGCCGCGGGCCAUUGCAGCUAGUGUUAUUCUGCGUCUUUCGCAGGGGCACGGCAUGUCGUAUUAGGUUUUACCAACUCCGGCACGUUGUCCUCUGAUCCAAACGGAAGUAGUAGAGCAUUGCUUCAAGCCCUGGCAAACAGUACUCUUUAAGUUUGACCUCAAAUCAGGUAGAUGCCUCAU